AUGAAGUGGGCAAGAAAUCAAAUCACACAUCAGGUAGUGCUGUAAUUUAGUUGUUUGAAUCUAUUGUGACUAUGAAGUGAUCCGGCCGGGAUAGUUCUUUGAUUGUGAAUCUAUUGGGAAAUCAUAGAGUGCAAUGUCAAUGCAUUGCUAGUUGUCUUUACAGAUGAGGCCGGGAUAGUUCUUUGAUUUCCAGUGCUAAUAAUUGUGUCGACAAGUAUUAUUUGAGUAUGUUUAAUUGUUUAUCUAUGUUCUUUCUCUUGCAACUGCAUUACAGCUUGAAUUGGAGAUUCGAUUUUUCUUAAGUUCUGUUGUGGAAAAUGGGGAUUUGAUGCCUAUAUAUUCUAUGGACUUGUGGGGGAGUUCAGAUAGUCAAUGUUAUUCUGAUUUGAUGCCUAUAUAUUCUAUGGACUUGUGGGGGUUUGAUUCUUGUAUAUUAUUCUGACUUGCUAAAAUCUCUAUCAGGUAUGAGUUUAAAACAAAUCAUGGAGAAUGGAUCACUUCAAUGAAACCAAAGUUUGGGGAUAAUGUAUCCGGACGUGUUCGUACAACAAUCAAGUGAGUACCUCAGAAUGUAAAAAAGUUCUGUAUAAAGUCCUCAUAUGGGAAACCAGCUGUGAGAUUUUGGUAGGUCUACACUCCGAGGAAUAUCCUAUACUAGUGAGGAAAUUGAUGUGGUUCGUGAGCAACGGGCUAAGUGUUUUACGCGCAAGUAUUUACUAUUGGCUUGAACGCGCUUGAUCGAGGUGGUUUAGUUGUUAUAGAACAAUCGUUUACAUUAAAAUGUAUGCGUACAUUGAAAUUGGAACGUAUAUUUGAAUGUAGUACGUGCACUUUGGUUUUGGGAUAUAUAUAUAUGUAUACAAAACACCAGUUAUUAUUUUUUA
This is a long non-coding RNA of Spinacia oleracea (spinach), 884 nucleotides long. RefSeq lists it as uncharacterized. NCBI's taxonomy places the organism in Eukaryota, Viridiplantae, Streptophyta, Magnoliopsida, Caryophyllales, Amaranthaceae. The transcript is spliced from 2 exons. The record is from RefSeq and is a predicted model, not a curated record.